GCCGCUGACAGCGCGCGCGUCCCGGCCUCACCUGCGCGCGGGUGUCCGAGGUGGCGCACGUCCGGAGCGGCUCCGCACAGCCAGGGCGUCCCAGCCGCGAGCUUCCGACAGCCGCUGGCCUCCAGGAGCAACCGCGCCGCCAGCACGACCAGCGCAUAGCCAUAGCGCGAGUCUGAAAGUCGCGGCGGGCGGUGGCUCCGCCUCUGCCCCAGGCCCAGACCCGGAGCCGGAAGCUGGGCACCGGAAGCGCGAAGCCGCACCCUGUUCCCCACCCGGUUCCCCGCGCGGUCGCCUGUACUCUCUGACCCUCCUCCGAGCCACUGGCUCCGGCCGGUAGCCGCGUCCGCUUUUACCCAGAAAUACGAUCUCGCCGUGUAGACCAGAUUGGCUUUGUGAAGACCAGGUUGGGUUCAAAUUCACCAUCCUGCCUCAGCCUAUUGCUGCUGAGAUUACCGACCUGCGUCCCCGUAUUUGCUAAUGCAAACAGUGCAGCUCAGGAUACACACUAGCAAGAAAAUGUUUUCGUUGUCGUUGUUUCGUUUGUUCGUUUUGCCUGAUGCAUGUCGGAUUUAUUCUAAUAUUGAAACAGCAUUUUUAUAACACUUUCAUCGAAUGAUAUACGUGCUCAUAAUCAUUCUGCCAUAACAGGUGGAGGCAAUGAGAGGUAAUGAAACACCAGGGAGACUGAAGAAACUUACUGUGUUCCCAUGUUGACAUUUUUUCUCAUUCAUUCGUUCGUUCAUUCAUUUUACAUCUCGACCGUAUCACCCCCGUCUCCUCGCAGUUCCCCUCCUAGGAAGAAAUAAACCAGCUGUAAUU
Long non-coding RNA from Mastomys coucha (southern multimammate mouse), 819 nucleotides. RefSeq lists it as uncharacterized. The transcript is spliced from 2 exons. Lineage: Eukaryota; Metazoa; Chordata; Mammalia; Rodentia; Muridae. The record is from RefSeq and is a predicted model, not a curated record.